Molecule: ribosomal RNA, 279 nt
Filed under: uncultured bacterium
Lineage: Bacteria
Description: partial 16S ribosomal RNA
Rfam family: Bacterial small subunit ribosomal RNA
Source: RNAcentral
UGCCAGCCGCCGCGGUAAUACGUGAGGGGCAAACGUUGUUCGGUGUCACUGGGCUUAAAGAGCACGUAGGCGGUUGUGCAAGUAAGGUGUGAAAGCCCCCGGCUUACCCGGGGAAUUGCGCCUUAUACUGCAUGACUUGAGGACCAGAGGGGUAGGAGGAACUCCAGGUGUAGCGGUGAAAUGCGCAGAUAUCUGGAGGAAGGCCGGCGGCGAAGGCGUCCUACUGGCUGGUUCCUGACGCUGAGGUGCGAAAGCGUGGGUAGCGAACAGGAUUAGAUA